GAUGAACGCUGGCGGCGUGCUUAACACAUGCAAGUCGAACGAUGAUGCCCAGCUUGCUGGGUGGAUUAGUGGCGAACGGGUGAGUAACACGUGAGUAACCUGCCCUUGACUCUGGGAUAAGCCUGGGAAACUGGGUCUAAUACCGGAUACGACCAUCUGGCGCAUGUCAUGGUGGUGGGAAGCUUUUGUGGUUUUGGAUGGACUCGCGGCCUAUCAGCUUGUUGGUGGGGUAAUGGCCUACCAAGGCGACGACGGGUAGCCGGCCUGAGAGGGUGACCGGCCACACUGGGACUGAGACACGGCCCAGACUCCUACGGGAGGCAGCAGUGGGGAAUAUUGCACAAUGGGCGCAAGCCUGAUGCAGCGACGCCGCGUGAGGGAUGACGGCCUUCGGGUUGUAAACCUCUUUCAGUAGGGAAGAAGCGAAAGUGACGGUACCUGCAGAAGAAGCGCCGGCUAACUACGUG
RNAcentral lists this ribosomal RNA (467 nucleotides) under uncultured bacterium. RNAcentral's name for it is "partial 16S ribosomal RNA". It matches the Rfam family "Bacterial small subunit ribosomal RNA", at positions 28 to 507 of the family's 1533-position model. The record is from RNAcentral.